RNAcentral lists this long non-coding RNA (460 nucleotides) under Apteryx owenii (little spotted kiwi). Its description in RNAcentral is "lncRNA (ENSAOWG00000007575.1)". Lineage: Eukaryota; Metazoa; Chordata; Aves; Apterygiformes; Apterygidae. The record is from RNAcentral.
AAUCGCUAGGCUACUGGCUGGGCCCUUCUGCUGGAGAUUUGUCACCGUGUAAAGUAUUGUUCUCUUUUGUUUUUCCAGACUGGUGAGAGAAAGAGCGGGCUCUUGUACCUACUCACGGGACUGUUUCUGCAUUUCAUCCUGUGACCAAAGUGGAGGUUUUCCCACCCUCAGGGCUUGAGUGAAUUCAGGAAAUAAGACUUGCGUUACUUAAGAAUGCCCAGUGUCUUUUUUGGAAGGGAAGACCCAGGCUGUGCUACAUUGCCAUUAAUGGAAAUGCAAGGAAUCAUCUCGGUGAACUAGAUCUGCAAUCAGUGUGCUCCAAUGGCAAGUAGAAGAGCAUGGCUGACUGACCCCGUUAGCACAGUGGAGCUAAUUAACACUUGAUGAUUUGAAUGGUAAAACCUUAUGUAUUCCAUGUCCAUUCUCUGCUCUUUGUGUGUUUACAUCUUUGAAGUUGGUA